GAUGAACGCUGGCGGCGUGCCUAACACAUGCAAGUCGAGCGAUCUCUUCGGAGGGAGCGGCGGACGGGUGAGUAACGCGUGGGUAACCUGCCCUGUACACACGGAUAACAUACCGAAAGGUAUACUAAUACGGGAUAACAUACGAAAGUCGCAUGGCUUUUGUAUCAAAGCUCCGGCGGUACAGGAUGGACCCGCGUCUGAUUAGCUAGUUGGUAAGGUAAUAGCUUACCAAGGCAACGAUCAGUAGCCGACCUGAGAGGGUGAUCGGCCACACUGGAACUGAGACACGGUCCAGACUCCUACGGGAGGCAGCAGUGGGGAAUAUUGCACAAUGGGCGAAAGCCUGAUGCAGCAACGCCGCGUGAGCGAUGAAGGCCUUCGGGUCGUAAAGCUCUGUCCUCAAGGAAGAUAAUGACGGUACUUGAGGAGGAAGCCCCGGCUGACUACGUGCCAGCCGCCGCAGUAA
RNAcentral lists this ribosomal RNA (466 nucleotides) under uncultured bacterium. RNAcentral's name for it is "partial 16S ribosomal RNA". It matches the Rfam family "Bacterial small subunit ribosomal RNA", at positions 28 to 523 of the family's 1533-position model. The record is from RNAcentral.